ACCCGCACAAGCAGCGGAGCGUGUGGUUUAAUUCGUUGCUACACGAAGAACUUACCUGGGUUUGACAUAUAGGUUGUAGGGAACUGAAAGGGACCGACCCUUCGGGGAGCCUAUACAGGUGUUGCAUGGCUGUCGUCAGCUCGUGUCGUGAGAUGUUCGGUUAAGUCCGCUAACGAGCGCAACCCUCGUCGUAUGUUAUAUGUGUCAUACGAGACUGCCGGGUAAAAAGCCGGAGGAAGGUGAGGAUGAUGUCAAGUCAGCAUGACCUUUAUAUCCAGGGCUACACACACGCUACAAUGGUCUGUACAAUGGGUAGCCAAGCCGCGAGGCGGAGCCAAUCCUGAAAGCAGGCCUCAGUUCAGAUUGCAGUCUGCAACUCGACUGCAUGAAGCCGGAGUUGCUAGUAACCGCAGGUCAGCAAUACUGCGGUGAAUACGUUCCCGGGUCUU
Molecule: ribosomal RNA, 449 nt
Filed under: uncultured Anaerolineaceae bacterium
Lineage: Bacteria; Bacillati; Chloroflexota; Anaerolineae; Anaerolineales; Anaerolineaceae
Description: bacterial SSU rRNA
Rfam family: Bacterial small subunit ribosomal RNA
Source: RNAcentral